UACGGAGGGUGCGAGCGUUAUCCGGAUUUAUUGGGUUUAAAGGGUCCGUAGGCGGACCUGUAAGUCAGUGGUGAAAUCUCAUAGCUUAACUAUGAAACUGCCAUUGAUACUGCGGGUCUUGAGUGAAUUUGAGGUAGCUGGAAUAAGUAGUGUAGCGGUGAAAUGCAUAGAUAUUGCUUAGAACACCAAUGGCGAAGGCAGGUUACCGGGAUUCAACUGACGCUGAGGGACGAAAGCGUGGGGAGCGAACAGG
RNAcentral lists this ribosomal RNA (253 nucleotides) under uncultured bacterium. RNAcentral describes it as "partial 16S ribosomal RNA". It matches the Rfam family "Bacterial small subunit ribosomal RNA", at positions 524 to 776 of the family's 1533-position model. The record is from RNAcentral.